Molecule: ribosomal RNA, 2334 nt
Filed under: Triticum aestivum (bread wheat)
Lineage: Eukaryota; Viridiplantae; Streptophyta; Magnoliopsida; Poales; Poaceae
Description: partial small subunit ribosomal RNA
Source: RNAcentral
CACCGGAUUGGGACAGACUGGAAUAUCUUCGAAGUCGGCGAAGAAACGGGGGGAGGAUGGUGGGAUUGAGGUUUGGGAUCGAAGGAUCGGAUGCGCAGGGGCUCGCUCGUACCUAGCCUAGCAGCCAUCGUUCAUGUUCGACCCGGCGUUCUAGCCCUCGCCGAGGAAGCCCCUCUAUAUAGAGCGGUGCGUACAGCUGUGCAUGCUCUAACAUCGGCAGUUCUAGCUUUUGUCGUUUUGGUUGGUAGGGGUUAACAAUAUGCUCCGGUUUGACAUAUUACGAGAAGUCCCUCCCUGACCAUAACGUUUGUAUUUUACCACACCGUAACUACCGCUUCUUUUACAAGAACAAUAACUAAACGAACCCGGUUCGGAACUCCUAGACAAACAAAUAACACCGGCCUCUAAGAGUGACUUCUGUCAAAACUACAACCGUCUAGUCUACUAUUGUUCUUAUCUCAAAAACGUAAGAUUCCCCAUGAACGUGUCCCUGUAGUUCGGGCUGUUGAAAGAAUACCCGGAACCAGCCUUUCGAUUGGUCCAGAUGUAGUAACUGAAGCCUGAACGGUUCUCUAUGGCACUGAGUUGGUGCUUAGCGGUAUAUGGGAUAUCUCUUUUAUUUUUAAACUGACCGUGUCGAGCGAUACGUUCGACGUUGUGAGUAGAACCCUAACUCGUUUCGGCUUCCCUACUAGACCUCAGGUAACCUAUACAAGAGAACAUAAAAGAUUCCCCUUCAGAAGGAACCGUCCCAAAUUUUCGACGGUGUUUCUUCGUCUUUAUACUGUUUUAUUCACUCUUCUUCGAAAGUUGUGGAUAGCUCCAAAACACAUUUUGGGUAGGACACCUUAAACGAAGAAUAAAGGUGAUAACGGUAAGUAACUGUAAACUAGUUGCCGGUCUGAUGCCAAAAGACGCUGCCGAGAAAUCUCUGGACAGCCUGGCACUUCCCGUGGUUAAGCUAGUACAGAAACUGACCUGCGACAACUUCACAUUCGUUUGGGUCUUCCACUUCCGAGUUGUCGUUCUAGGACCACAUUCAUCGUCCGGCCAACGUUUCUUAUACCUGUUUGUGGUUCGACUUCGAAGAACAGUCGAACUUCGUCUUGUUGCGGGUCAUUAGUCUUACGUUUAUUCUAGAUGACGACUCUUGUCGGCAAGUUUAUUAGCUGUAAGACUAUUUAACUCCCACUCACGAUCGUGACUAUUCCUUAACGACGUUAGUUGUAGUAAACCGGUACGACCACGGGGUUCCUUCUUGCCUAGUUAGAGGUUUUGUGGUACCGAACAGCUAGGGUUGAGUCCUGGAAGUUUGGUGGAAAUCGUGAGACUAGUCAGUCAAGGAUACAAGUACGGCCAGAUAAAUCAUUGGUAACCAGUAGACCCAUACCAAAGUCGACUAUUAGGUUUCCGUUGUACAUUUAAAAUUCAAAGAUUCGACAGGAGAGAUGAUCAACUUAUACACCAACUACACUACUACACUUAAGUUGUGGUGAAUAGUACAUUCAUCAGUUCUUCAAACAGGAAGGUAUAAUAAUACACGUAUUAUACACCUUUGAAUCCUAACAACUAUGGGAAAAAAACACAAGAUGGACUCACAAAUAUAGCAGUCGUAGUAGACCCGAGUAACGAAGUCCAAGAAACGGUUGAUUAUAUCUACCACGACAAACGAAUUUUUCUCGAACCCCUGAGAACAUGUUGAAAUUGAAAUUAAUACUAGUCGCGAACACACUAUUACAAACGAGGAAAACCGUGGGGUCACAAUAGAGGACUUGAAUAUCGACCAAACUGAAAGUUCAGGUGAACUCAACGAUAAAUUACACGACUUAAUAUUCAAAAAACACGGUCUAACCCUAAGAAUGCUUUAUAAAAAAACACGGUCUACGAAAAUCAAACGUUCAACUGUAGAAUAAUUUGUAUCUACCCGAAAUCGCAGUUUACAUACACCAACCUAGAUUGGUUCGUUCCCAACACUUCUCCCGGGACAUUUCAUCCUCAUGUACUAAAACCAAUCGUACCCUACGAACCUACUAAUAAUAAAACUGACGAAGCUACGGUGAAGAACACAAGGCCACCAACUUUAGGUAACGCUAAGAGUACGGGUUUCACGUUAGACCACGUCUAGUGGUACCUACACUAGUGCAUAAAUUAUGAGGGAGGCAGGUUUUUUUCGAAAGGAUCUAAACACAUCUAUACUUACAUAAAUCUGUGCAAAUACAAUCUAUGUAGGCAUAGAUCUAUUUAGAUUUCGUUUAAAAAACUCUGCCUCCAUUAUAUUCUCAUACUGGAACAGCCUGACAUAGUAAACUUGGCUCGAUUUUUCCACGACUAGUG